RNAcentral lists this ribosomal RNA (914 nucleotides) under uncultured bacterium. RNAcentral's name for it is "bacterial SSU rRNA". It matches the Rfam family "Bacterial small subunit ribosomal RNA", at positions 8 to 916 of the family's 1533-position model. The record is from RNAcentral.
AGAGUUUGAUCCUGGCUCAGGAUGAACGCUAGCGAUAGGCCUAACACAUGCAAGUCGAGGGGCAGCACAUGAGUAGCAAUACGAUGGUGGCGACCGGCGCACGGGUGAGUAACACGUAUGCAACCUACCUCUAACAGGGGGAUAACCCGUUGAAAGACGGACUAAUACCCCAUAAUACAGGGGCUCCGCAUGGAGAUAUUUGUUAAAGAUUUUAUCGGUUAGAGAUGGGCAUGCGUUCCAUUAGCUAGUUGGUGAGGUAACGGCUCACCAAGGCGACGAUGGAUAGGGGAACUGAGAGGUUUAUCCCCCACACUGGAACUGAGACACGGUCCAGACUCCUACGGGAGGCAGCAGUGAGGAAUAUUGGUCAAUGGAGGCAACUCUGAACCAGCCAAGUCGCGUGAAGGAUGAAGGUCUUAUGGAUUGUAAACUUCUUUUGCAGGGGAAUAAAUAGCGGUACGUGUACCGUUUUGCAUGUACCCUGCGAAUAAGGAUCGGCUAACUCCGUGCCAGCAGCCGCGGUAAUACGGAGGAUCCGAGCGUUAUCCGGAUUUAUUGGGUUUAAAGGGUGCGCAGGCGGGAGAUUAAGUCGGCGGUGAAAUUUUGCAGCUCAACUGUAAAAGUGCCUUCGAUACUGGUUUCCUUGAGUGUGGAUGAAGUAGGCGGAAUUUGUGGUGUAGCGGUGAAAUGCUUAGAUAUCACGAGGAACUCCGAUUGCGCAGGCAGCUUACUAAACCACUACUGACGCUCAGGCACGAAGGCGUGGGGAUCAAACAGGAUUAGAUACCCUGGUAGUCCACGCAGUAAACGAUGAUUACUGGCUGUUUGCGAUACAAUGUAAGCGGCUGAGCGAAAGCGUUAAGUAAUCCACCUGGGGAGUACGUUCGCAAGAAUGAAACUCAAGGAAUUGACGG